Molecule: ribosomal RNA, 305 nt
Filed under: uncultured bacterium
Lineage: Bacteria
Description: bacterial SSU rRNA
Rfam family: Bacterial small subunit ribosomal RNA
Source: RNAcentral
CUUGACCUACGGGGCGCAGCAGCCGCGGUAAUACGUAUGGUGCAAGCGUUAUCCGGAUUUACUGGGUGUAAAGGGAGCGCAGGCGGCGCGUUAAGCCUGGUGUGAAAGCCCGCGGCCCAACCGCGGGACUGCAUUGGGAACUGGCGCGCUGGAGUGCCGGAGGGGUAGGCGGAAUUCCUAGUGUAGCGGUGAAAUGCGUAGAUAUUAGGAGGAACACCAGUGGCGAAGGCGGCCUACUGGACGGUGACUGACGCUGAGGCUCGAAAGCGUGGGGAGCAAACAGGAUUAGAAACCCGGGUAGUCCC